GCCGGGGUAGCUCAGUGGUAGAGCACAUGACUGAAAAUCAUGGUGUCGGCAGUUCNNCCCCCCGGCACCA
This 70-nucleotide transfer RNA is filed under the name Candidatus Peregrinibacteria bacterium. RNAcentral's name for it is "tRNA-Phe". It matches the Rfam family "tRNA". From Rfam's summary of the family: Transfer RNA (tRNA) molecules are approximately 80 nucleotides in length. The record is from RNAcentral. Lineage: Bacteria; Candidatus Peregrinibacteriota.